RNAcentral lists this ribosomal RNA (213 nucleotides) under uncultured bacterium. Its description in RNAcentral is "partial 16S ribosomal RNA". It matches the Rfam family "Bacterial small subunit ribosomal RNA", at positions 1287 to 1500 of the family's 1533-position model. The record is from RNAcentral.
CUCAGUUCGGAUUGAAGGCUGAAAUUCGCCUUCAUGAAGCUGGAAUUGCUGUAAUGGCAGGUCAGCAUACUGCCGUGAAUACGUUCCCGGGCCUUGUACACACCGCCCGUCACACCAUGAGAGUUGGAAAUACCCGAAGCCUGUGAGCUAACUGUAAAGAGGCAGCAGUCGAAGGUAGAGCCAAUGAUUGGGGUGAAGUCGUAACAAGGUAAC